This 465-nucleotide ribosomal RNA is filed under the name uncultured bacterium. Its description in RNAcentral is "bacterial SSU rRNA". It matches the Rfam family "Bacterial small subunit ribosomal RNA", at positions 30 to 507 of the family's 1533-position model. The record is from RNAcentral.
AUUGAACGCUGGCGGCAGGCUUAACACAUGCAAGUCGAACGGUAACAUAAAGAAGCUUGCUUCUUUGAUGACGAGUGGCGGACGGGUGAGUAAUGCUUGGGAAUCUAGCUUAUGGAGGGGGAUAACUACGGGAAACUGUAGCUAAUACCGCGUAAUAUCGAAAGAUUAAAGUGUGGGACCUUCGGGCCACAUGCCAUAGGAUGAGCCCAAGUGGGAUUAGGUAGUUGGUGAGGUAAAGGCUCACCAAGCCGACGAUCUCUAGCUGGUCUGAGAGGAUGACCAGCCACACUGGGACUGAGACACGGCCCAGACUCCUACGGGAGGCAGCAGUGGGGAAUAUUGCACAAUGGAGGAAACUCUGAUGCAGCGACGCCGCGUGAGCGAAGAAGUAUUCGGUAUGUAAAGCUCUGUCAGCAGGGAAGAUAAUGACGGUACCUGACCAAGAAGCCCCGGCCUAACUACGUG